GUUAAUGUAGCUUAAUACAACAAAGCAAAGCACUGAAAAUGCUUAGAUGGAUUUUUAUAUCCCAUAAACA
This 70-nucleotide transfer RNA is filed under the name Micaelamys namaquensis (Namaqua Micaelamys). RNAcentral describes it as "tRNA-Phe". It matches the Rfam family "tRNA". From Rfam's summary of the family: Transfer RNA (tRNA) molecules are approximately 80 nucleotides in length. Their secondary structure includes four short double-helical elements and three loops (D, anti-codon, and T loops). Further hydrogen bonds mediate the characteristic L-shaped molecular structure. tRNAs have two regions of fundamental functional importance: the anti-codon, which is responsible for specific mRNA codon recognition, and the 3' end, to which the tRNAs corresponding amino acid is attached (by aminoacyl-tRNA synthetases). tRNAs cope with the degeneracy of the genetic code in two manners: having more than one tRNA (with a specific anti-codon) for a particular amino acid; and 'wobble' base-pairing, i.e. permitting non-standard base-pairing at the 3rd anti-codon position. The record is from RNAcentral. Lineage: Eukaryota; Metazoa; Chordata; Mammalia; Rodentia; Muridae.